GCGAGAGUAGCUCAGUUGGUAGAGCGUCAGCCUUCCAAGCUGAAUGUCGUCGGUUCGAACCCGGUCUCUCGCUCUA
RNAcentral lists this transfer RNA (76 nucleotides) under Tenacibaculum maritimum. RNAcentral's name for it is "tRNA-Gly". It matches the Rfam family "tRNA". Rfam says of the family: Transfer RNA (tRNA) molecules are approximately 80 nucleotides in length. Lineage: Bacteria; Pseudomonadati; Bacteroidota; Flavobacteriia; Flavobacteriales; Flavobacteriaceae. The record is from RNAcentral.